GCCUUCGUGGUGUAGUGGUCAGCACACUGAGCCAGUAUUUCAGAGGUCCGUGGUUCGAUUCCAAGCGAAGGCA
RNAcentral lists this transfer RNA (73 nucleotides) under Stegodyphus dumicola. RNAcentral's name for it is "tRNA-Thr". It matches the Rfam family "tRNA". From Rfam's summary of the family: Transfer RNA (tRNA) molecules are approximately 80 nucleotides in length. Their secondary structure includes four short double-helical elements and three loops (D, anti-codon, and T loops). Further hydrogen bonds mediate the characteristic L-shaped molecular structure. tRNAs have two regions of fundamental functional importance: the anti-codon, which is responsible for specific mRNA codon recognition, and the 3' end, to which the tRNAs corresponding amino acid is attached (by aminoacyl-tRNA synthetases). tRNAs cope with the degeneracy of the genetic code in two manners: having more than one tRNA (with a specific anti-codon) for a particular amino acid; and 'wobble' base-pairing, i.e. permitting non-standard base-pairing at the 3rd anti-codon position. Lineage: Eukaryota; Metazoa; Arthropoda; Arachnida; Araneae; Eresidae. The record is from RNAcentral.